This 65-nucleotide transfer RNA is filed under the name Planorbis carinatus. RNAcentral describes it as "tRNA-Pro". The record is from RNAcentral. Lineage: Eukaryota; Metazoa; Mollusca; Gastropoda; Planorbidae.
UUAAGAGCAGUUUUGGAAACAUUAACUUUGGGAGUUAAUAAGUAGAUUUUUUUUCUACUCUUAAA